UACGGAGGGUGCAAGCAUUAAUCGGAUUGAUUGGGCGUAAAGAGCGCGUAGGCGGGAAGACAAGUCAGAUGUGAAAUCCCGGGGCUCAACCUCGGAACAGCAUUUGAAACUGUCUUUCUAGAGGGUAGGCGGAGAAAACGGAAUUCCACAAGUAGCGGUGAAAUGCGUAGAUAUGUGGAAGAACACCAGUGGCGAAAGCGGUUUUCUAGCUUAUACCUGACGCUGAGGCGCGAAAGCAAGGGGAGCAAAC
Molecule: ribosomal RNA, 250 nt
Filed under: uncultured bacterium
Lineage: Bacteria
Description: partial 16S ribosomal RNA
Rfam family: Bacterial small subunit ribosomal RNA
Source: RNAcentral